RNAcentral lists this ribosomal RNA (2588 nucleotides) under Escherichia coli 3-073-06_S4_C3. Its description in RNAcentral is "bacterial LSU rRNA". It matches the Rfam family "Bacterial large subunit ribosomal RNA", at positions 354 to 2925 of the family's 2925-position model. Lineage: Bacteria; Pseudomonadati; Pseudomonadota; Gammaproteobacteria; Enterobacterales; Enterobacteriaceae. The record is from RNAcentral.
GCGAUACAGGGUGACAGCCCCGUACACAAAAAUGCACAUGCUGUGAGCUCGAUGAGUAGGGCGGGACACGUGGUAUCCUGUCUGAAUAUGGGGGGACCAUCCUCCAAGGCUAAAUACUCCUGACUGACCGAUAGUGAACCAGUACCGUGAGGGAAAGGCGAAAAGAACCCCGGCGAGGGGAGUGAAAAAGAACCUGAAACCGUGUACGUACAAGCAGUGGGAGCACGCUUAGGCGUGUGACUGCGUACCUUUUGUAUAAUGGGUCAGCGACUUAUAUUCUGUAGCAAGGUUAACCGAAUAGGGGAGCCGAAGGGAAACCGAGUCUUAACUGGGCGUUAAGUUGCAGGGUAUAGACCCGAAACCCGGUGAUCUAGCCAUGGGCAGGUUGAAGGUUGGGUAACACUAACUGGAGGACCGAACCGACUAAUGUUGAAAAAUUAGCGGAUGACUUGUGGCUGGGGGUGAAAGGCCAAUCAAACCGGGAGAUAGCUGGUUCUCCCCGAAAGCUAUUUAGGUAGCGCCUCGUGAAUUCAUCUCCGGGGGUAGAGCACUGUUUCGGCAAGGGGGUCAUCCCGACUUACCAACCCGAUGCAAACUGCGAAUACCGGAGAAUGUUAUCACGGGAGACACACGGCGGGUGCUAACGUCCGUCGUGAAGAGGGAAACAACCCAGACCGCCAGCUAAGGUCCCAAAGUCAUGGUUAAGUGGGAAACGAUGUGGGAAGGCCCAGACAGCCAGGAUGUUGGCUUAGAAGCAGCCAUCAUUUAAAGAAAGCGUAAUAGCUCACUGGUCGAGUCGGCCUGCGCGGAAGAUGUAACGGGGCUAAACCAUGCACCGAAGCUGCGGCAGCGACGCUUAUGCGUUGUUGGGUAGGGGAGCGUUCUGUAAGCCUGUGAAGGUGUGCUGUGAGGCAUGCUGGAGGUAUCAGAAGUGCGAAUGCUGACAUAAGUAACGAUAAAGCGGGUGAAAAGCCCGCUCGCCGGAAGACCAAGGGUUCCUGUCCAACGUUAAUCGGGGCAGGGUGAGUCGACCCCUAAGGCGAGGCCGAAAGGCGUAGUCGAUGGGAAACAGGUUAAUAUUCCUGUACUUGGUGUUACUGCGAAGGGGGGACGGAGAAGGCUAUGUUGGCCGGGCGACGGUUGUCCCGGUUUAAGCGUGUAGGCUGGUUUUCCAGGCAAAUCCGGAAAAUCAAGGCUGAGGCGUGAUGACGAGGCACUACGGUGCUGAAGCAACAAAUGCCCUGCUUCCAGGAAAAGCCUCUAAGCAUCAGGUAACAUCAAAUCGUACCCCAAACCGACACAGGUGGUCAGGUAGAGAAUACCAAGGCGCUUGAGAGAACUCGGGUGAAGGAACUAGGCAAAAUGGUGCCGUAACUUCGGGAGAAGGCACGCUGAUAUGUAGGUGAAGUCCCUCGCGGAUGGAGCUGAAAUCAGUCGAAGAUACCAGCUGGCUGCAACUGUUUAUUAAAAACACAGCACUGUGCAAACACGAAAGUGGACGUAUACGGUGUGACGCCUGCCCGGUGCCGGAAGGUUAAUUGAUGGGGUUAGCGCAAGCGAAGCUCUUGAUCGAAGCCCCGGUAAACGGCGGCCGUAACUAUAACGGUCCUAAGGUAGCGAAAUUCCUUGUCGGGUAAGUUCCGACCUGCACGAAUGGCGUAAUGAUGGCCAGGCUGUCUCCACCCGAGACUCAGUGAAAUUGAACUCGCUGUGAAGAUGCAGUGUACCCGCGGCAAGACGGAAAGACCCCGUGAACCUUUACUAUAGCUUGACACUGAACAUUGAGCCUUGAUGUGUAGGAUAGGUGGGAGGCUUUGAAGUGUGGACGCCAGUCUGCAUGGAGCCGACCUUGAAAUACCACCCUUUAAUGUUUGAUGUUCUAACGUUGACCCGUAAUCCGGGUUGCGGACAGUGUCUGGUGGGUAGUUUGACUGGGGCGGUCUCCUCCUAAAGAGUAACGGAGGAGCACGAAGGUUGGCUAAUCCUGGUCGGACAUCAGGAGGUUAGUGCAAUGGCAUAAGCCAGCUUGACUGCGAGCGUGACGGCGCGAGCAGGUGCGAAAGCAGGUCAUAGUGAUCCGGUGGUUCUGAAUGGAAGGGCCAUCGCUCAACGGAUAAAAGGUACUCCGGGGAUAACAGGCUGAUACCGCCCAAGAGUUCAUAUCGACGGCGGUGUUUGGCACCUCGAUGUCGGCUCAUCACAUCCUGGGGCUGAAGUAGGUCCCAAGGGUAUGGCUGUUCGCCAUUUAAAGUGGUACGCGAGCUGGGUUUAGAACGUCGUGAGACAGUUCGGUCCCUAUCUGCCGUGGGCGCUGGAGAACUGAGGGGGGCUGCUCCUAGUACGAGAGGACCGGAGUGGACGCAUCACUGGUGUUCGGGUUGUCAUGCCAAUGGCACUGCCCGGUAGCUAAAUGCGGAAGAGAUAAGUGCUGAAAGCAUCUAAGCACGAAACUUGCCCCGAGAUGAGUUCUCCCUGACUCCUUGAGAGUCCUGAAGGAACGUUGAAGACGACGACGUUGAUAGGCCGGGUGUGUAAGCGCAGCGAUGCGUUGAGCUAACCGGUACUAAUGAACCGUGAGGCUUAACCUU